RNAcentral lists this ribosomal RNA (467 nucleotides) under uncultured bacterium. Its description in RNAcentral is "bacterial SSU rRNA". It matches the Rfam family "Bacterial small subunit ribosomal RNA", at positions 339 to 797 of the family's 1533-position model. The record is from RNAcentral.
UUACGGGAGGCAGCAGUGGGGAAUAUUGGACAAUGGGCGAAAGCCUGAUCCAGCCAUGCCGCGUGUGUGAAGAAGGCCUUUUGGUUGUAAAGCACUUUAAGCGGGGAGGAGGGCACCACGGUUAAUACCCGUGAAUGUCGGACGUUACCCGCAGAAUAAGCACCGGCUAACUCUGUGCCAGCAGCCGCGGUAAUACAGAGGGUGCGAGCGUUAAUCGGAAUUACUGGGCGUAAAGCGCGCGUAGGCGGCUUGUUAAGUCAAAUGUGAAAUCCCCGAGCUUAACUUGGGCAUUGCAUUCGAUACUGGCAAGCUAGAGUAUGGGAGAGGAAGGUAGAAUUCCAGGUGUAGCGGUGAAAUGCGUAGAGAUCUGGAGGAAUACCGAUGGCGAAGGCAGCCUUCUGGCCUAAUACUGACGCUGAGGUGCGAAAGCAUGGGGAGCAAACAGGAUUAGAUACCCGGGUAGUCCG